CCUACGGGAGGCAGCAGUGGGGAAUAUUGCACAAUGGGCGCAAGCCUGAUGCAGCGACGCCGCGUGCGGGCUGGAGGCCUUCGGGUUGUAAACCGCUUUUGUUCAAGGGCAAGGCACGGUCUUUGGCCGUGUUGAGUGGAUUGUUCGAAUAAGCACCGACUCACUCCGUGCCAGCAGCCGCGGUAAUACGUAGGGUGCAAGCGUGAUCCGGCUUUAUUGGGCGUAAAGGGCUCGUAGGCGGAUCGUCGCGUCCGGUGUGAAAGUCCAUCGCUUAACGGUGGAUCCGCGCCGGGUACGGUCGGUCUUGAGUGCGGUAGGGGAGACUGGAAUGCCCGGUGUAGCGGUGGAAUGUUUAGAGAUCGGGAAGAACACCGAUGGCGAAGGCAGGUCUCUGGGCCGUUACUGACGCUGAGGAGCGAAAGCGUGGGGAGCGAACAGGAUUAGAUACCCGUGUAGUC
Molecule: ribosomal RNA, 458 nt
Filed under: uncultured bacterium
Lineage: Bacteria
Description: partial 16S ribosomal RNA
Rfam family: Bacterial small subunit ribosomal RNA
Source: RNAcentral